Long non-coding RNA from Cephus cinctus (wheat stem sawfly), 389 nucleotides. RefSeq lists it as uncharacterized. Lineage: Eukaryota; Metazoa; Arthropoda; Insecta; Hymenoptera; Cephidae. The record is from RefSeq and is a predicted model, not a curated record. The transcript has 3 exons.
CGUUACUUUCCCUCUCGCCUGUUCAACCGCUAUGAAAACGCGACGAUUCGCGGGAUAUGAAAUUAUCGUACCGCCACUAAAGGCUUGCGACCGUGCUAGUAACACCCAGUUCCAGCACUUUAAAAGUCCAGCUUACACGAUGCAACUGUACUUCGGUAAGAAAUUUCAAGAGGAACAAAAUCGACGCUUUUCAUUCAGCUAGAUAAGAAAUUGGGAGGUCUCUCUGUUCCUGGCCGAUCAAGGGAACCGGCGGUGGCGGCCAAGCAGUACGUUCUGAGCUUUUCCCACGAUCAACUUGGAGUUCCUGCUUUACGAUGACACUUUUAUACCUCCCAUUAUCCUUUACGUGGCAGUUCAGCUUAUUCGAAAGUUUACUGCAAGCGUAAAAG